ACAAGACAGACAACUAAAAAUAACAGAUACAGACAACUAAAAACAACAAUACAGACUUGGACAAUACAUGAACAAUCAAUGUGUGCAAGUGUAACUGUUGAGAAGGAACAGUUUGUAUGCCUUUUUGAAAUGUGUGAUGGAUGGUAGUGUUCUGAUGUGGUGGGGAAUGUUAUUCCAAAUUUUGGUGUAUCUAUAAAAAAUGAUUUUUGACCAUAGUUGUUUUUGUAUGAGGGAACUGGAAUGAAUGCCUGUGAGACUGACCUAGUGAGGUGUACUGGUCUCAUAUUGUGUGUUGGGAGAAGUGCAGCAAGUGCUGGUAAGGUGCCAUUUUGAAUCUGAAAGUAAAAUGCAAUAGCGUGGCUGUUUGUGUAGUUCUGGUAAAUCAGAGCGUUUGAGCGUGCGAGUGCAAUGCAAUGGUGAGACCACUUUGGAAGAUUACUGUGGAUCUUGAGAGCUCUAUUGUAUAGUCGUGCUAUUGGUUCAGUAAUUUCCUUAGUGGUAAGA
Molecule: long non-coding RNA, 504 nt
Organism: Sander lucioperca (pikeperch)
Lineage: Eukaryota; Metazoa; Chordata; Actinopteri; Perciformes; Percidae
Exons: 3
Source: RefSeq, a predicted model, not a curated record